AUAUAUGUGUGUGUGUACAUGUACAUGUGAGUAUGUGUGUAUAUGUUUGUACAUGUGCAUGUGUGUGUAUGUGUGAGAAUGUGUAUAUGUGUGUGUAUAUGUGUAUAUGUGUGCAUGUGUGUGUGG
This 126-nucleotide microRNA precursor is filed under the name Mus caroli (Ryukyu mouse). Its description in RNAcentral is "miRNA (MGP_CAROLIEiJ_G0007810.1)". Lineage: Eukaryota; Metazoa; Chordata; Mammalia; Rodentia; Muridae. The record is from RNAcentral.